RNAcentral lists this ribosomal RNA (451 nucleotides) under uncultured bacterium. Its description in RNAcentral is "partial 16S ribosomal RNA". It matches the Rfam family "Bacterial small subunit ribosomal RNA", at positions 354 to 796 of the family's 1533-position model. The record is from RNAcentral.
GUGGGGAAUAUUGGACAAUGGGCGCAAGCCUGAUCCAGCCAUGCCGCGUGUGUGAAGAAGGCCUUUUGGUUGUAAAGCACUUUAAGCGAGGAGGAGGCUCCUUUAGUUAAUACCUAAAGAGAGUGGACGUUACUCGCAGAAUAAGCACCGGCUAACUCUGUGCCAGCAGCCGCGGUAAUACAGAGGGUGCGAGCGUUAAUCGGAUUUACUGGGCGUAAAGCGUGCGUAGGCGGCUUUUUAAGUCGGAUGUGAAAUCCCUGAGCUUAACUUAGGAAUUGCAUUCGAUACUGGAAAGCUAGAGUAUGGGAGAGGAUGGUAGAAUUCCAGGUGUAGCGGUGAAAUGCGUAGAGAUCUGGAGGAAUACCGAUGGCGAAGGCAGCCAUCUGGCCUAAUAUUGACGCUGAGGUACGAAAGCAUGGGGAGCAAACAGGAUUAGAUACCCCAGUAGUCC